UACGUAGGGGGCGAGCGUUGUCCGGAAUUACUGGGCGUAAAGGGCGCGUAGGCGGCCGGCUAAGUCCGCUGUGAAAGACCGAGGCUCAACCUCGGGAGGUCAGCGGAGACUGGUCGGCUUUGGGUCUCGGAGAGGAGCGGGGAAUCCCUGGUGUAGCGGUGGAAUGCUUAGAGAUCAGGGGGAACACCGAUGGCGAAGGCACCGCUCUGGCCGAGUACCGACGCUGAGGCGCGAAAGCUGGGGGAGCGAACGGG
RNAcentral lists this unclassified non-coding RNA (254 nucleotides) under uncultured Armatimonadota bacterium. Its description in RNAcentral is "uncultured Armatimonadetes bacterium contains 16S-23S intergenic spacer region". It matches the Rfam family "Bacterial small subunit ribosomal RNA", at positions 524 to 776 of the family's 1533-position model. The record is from RNAcentral. Lineage: Bacteria; Bacillati; Armatimonadota.